UACAGAGACUGCGAGCGUUAUUCGGAUUCACUGGGCGUAAAGGGUGCGCAGGCGGCCGUGUGUGUGAGGCGUGAAAUCCCGGGGCUUAACCCCGGAAUUGCACCUCAAACUACACGGCUAGAGCAUUGGAGAGGGUAGCGGAAUUCACGGUGUAGCAGUGAAAUGCGUAGAUAUCGUGAGGAACACCAGAGGCGAAGGCGGCUACCUGGACAAUUGCUGACGCUCAGGCACGAAAGCGUGGGGAGCAAAAGGG
Molecule: ribosomal RNA, 253 nt
Filed under: uncultured bacterium
Lineage: Bacteria
Description: partial 16S ribosomal RNA
Rfam family: Bacterial small subunit ribosomal RNA
Source: RNAcentral